Molecule: ribosomal RNA, 301 nt
Filed under: uncultured bacterium
Lineage: Bacteria
Description: partial 16S ribosomal RNA
Rfam family: Bacterial small subunit ribosomal RNA
Source: RNAcentral
CAGCAGCCACGGUAACACGGAGGGUGCAAGCGUUAUCCGGAUUUAUUGGGUUUAAAGGGUCCGUAGGCGGACUUAUAAGUCAGUGGUGAAAGCCUGUCGCUUAACGAUAGAACUGCCAUUGAUACUGUAAGUCUUGAGUAUAUUUGAGGUAGCUGGAAUAAGUAGUGUAGCGGUGAAAUGCAUAGAUAUUACUUAGAACACCAAUUGCGAAGGCAGGUUACCAAGAUAUAACUGACGCUGAGGGACGAAAGCGUGGGUAGCGAACAGGAUUAGAUACCCCUGUAGUCCCUGUCUCUUAUAC